RNAcentral lists this microRNA precursor (85 nucleotides) under Ovis aries (sheep). RNAcentral describes it as "miRNA (ENSOARG00000022484.1)". Lineage: Eukaryota; Metazoa; Chordata; Mammalia; Artiodactyla; Bovidae. The record is from RNAcentral.
UUGGCCAAAAGGUUCGUUUGGGUUUUUCUGUACAAUGUUAUAGAAUAGUAUACAGAAAACGCAAAUGAACUUUUCAGCCAACCCA